RNAcentral lists this ribosomal RNA (253 nucleotides) under uncultured bacterium. RNAcentral describes it as "partial 16S ribosomal RNA". It matches the Rfam family "Bacterial small subunit ribosomal RNA", at positions 524 to 776 of the family's 1533-position model. The record is from RNAcentral.
UACAGAGGUGGCAAGCGUUGUUCGGAAUUACUGGGCGUAAAGGGCGCGUAGGCGGCCCGCUAAGUCGAACGUGAAAUCCCCGAGCUCAACUCGGGAACUGCGUCCGAUACUGGCGGGCUUGAAUCCGGGAGAGGGAUGCGGAAUUCCAGGUGUAGCGGUGAAAUGCGUAGAUAUCUGGAGGAACACCGGUGGCGAAGGCGGCAUCCUGGACCGGCAUUGACGCUGAGGCGCGAAAGCUAGGGGAGCAAACGGG